RNAcentral lists this ribosomal RNA (466 nucleotides) under uncultured bacterium. Its description in RNAcentral is "partial 16S ribosomal RNA". It matches the Rfam family "Bacterial small subunit ribosomal RNA", at positions 28 to 507 of the family's 1533-position model. The record is from RNAcentral.
GAUGAACGCUGGCGGCGUGCUUAACACAUGCAAGUCGAACGGAAAGGCCCAAGCUUGCUUGGGUACUCGAGUGGCGAACGGGUGAGUAACACGUGGGUGAUCUGCCCUGCACUUCGGGAUAAGCCUGGGAAACUGGGUCUAAUACCGGAUAGGACCACAUUUUGGAUGGUGUGGUGGAGAGUUUUUCGGUGUGGGAUGAGCUCGCGGCCUAUCAGCUUGUUGGUGGGGUAAUGGCCUACCAAGGCGUCGACGGGUAGCCGGCCUGAGAGGGUGUACGGCCACAUUGGGACUGAGAUACGGCCCAGACUCCUACGGGAGGCAGCAGUGGGGAAUAUUGCACAAUGGGCGCAAGCCUGAUGCAGCGACGCCGCGUGGGGGAGGACGGCCUUCGGGUUGUAAACUCCUUUCGCUAGGGACGAAGCGUUAUGUGACGGUACCUGGAGAAGAAGCACCGGCUAACUACGUG